AAUAAUAGUAUUAUUUUUACGGCUUAAUUUCCUGAGUCUUCCAUCUCCAAGUUCUUCCGUGUGUGGGUAUUGGUGUGUACAAAGUGUCGUCUGCAUAUCGCAGGCCGGAGAUCUUCAAGCCACCGAAUCUGUCCAGUCUUGAAUCUGGUCUACGAGUAGCGAUCUACCAUCGGAAUGACGAAAUUACGCGGGUUUGAAAUUGUACUCUAUACACAGCAGCUUAUCAUUGCUUGAAUGCAGCCUCCAAUGAGAAAGCAAAUUGAAUUAUCGAUGCGAUGUCCUCGUCACGGCAGCGGCCGGAUUGAAGUUCCGACGCGCGUCUAACGCUGCUCGGUUAAGUUUCAGUCUGACGGUUCUAAUUUAGACUAAAAUAGCCAAUCUGUCCAAUCCCCUAUUACUGACUUCCAAAGUAGCUUAAAUGUUUGUCGUUACUGUGGUUUCGGUGCUAUCAGCUCCAAUAAAAUGUCUUAUAAUAAUCGUAUCGUACCUUUGUUUGAUCUGCCUGGAAUUUGGGUUGAAUUUCAUGAAUAUUAUUAGAAGGUUGUCAAAACUGACAAAAGACAAAAUUAUUUAUGUUAUUUGGACAUGUGUUACUAAAUACGUCAAAAUAUUAGGUACCUACGAAUUUUCCGUUUAGAAUACAAAUUGAUGUUGUAAUUAUUUUUUAUUUCUAUCAAUCAAAAUAAUAUGUACUCAUGGUAUCGUUGCAUCUCUGCGAGUGCAGUGGUGAUUGUUUAAUGCCUUUCUCGAAGAACUCAGGUGUACAAGAGCCAACAAUCUCUUCGAAUGUAUUUUGUAUUGCCUCUCGGGUAUAUUAGCUUUUCUUUGCCCAGAAGUUGUCCAAACUUUGGAAAAAGUAGAAGUCAGUCGGCGCAAGGUCUGUAGAGUUUGGUGGAAACCAUUUAUCUAGCUUUUGUAGCUCAGAGAAGGUCUGUUGUGCCGUAUGAAUUUGAGUGUUGUUAUGUAGGAGCACCAGGGAUGAGUGAUUAACCAAGGCGGGCCAGAGAUUCGAGAGUUUCUACAUCAUUGUGUCCAGUUUCUUACAGUACAUAUCCGAAGUAAUCCUAGUGCUAUUUGGUAAGAAGCUGUGAUGAAUUAUGCUGAGAAGGGAAGGGAAGCGAAGGGAUGAGAGAACGAAAAGAAAGAAGGAGAAAGAGAAAGAGAAAGUUCGGUCGCGCAGCAAAAUCCCUAUCUCCUCCAAGCCUGCCGUAAGGAACUUCGUUCCAAUUAUAAACGCGAAAUUAAACCGCGAAUGUAGUUUUUUUAUUUUAAUGGUUUAAUAAAUAUCACAGCUGUUUCUUGAAGGAAACUUCAAAAUAUCAAAUAACAUUUUAACGAAAUGUCUUCUUUAUGAUGCAAACUUUUACGAAAAAUUGAAAUUCUCUACCGUUUUGACAAUUGAGACCUAUUGUAGUCGGGGUUCAAACGAUGUCCAGGAAGUCGCUUUAGUCGCCUGAUCUCACACCUUUGCGACAGAGCUUUUGACCUGCUGAACCGUGAUUUGUAACGGGUGACUAAUGAUUCUUGAAUUUCCUCGUGUUGUAAAGCUUACUUUUAUUCACGCUUUGAUACCAUUGUCAUCAUUAUGCGGCCAUGCGUUCUUUAUUGUGGGCAUUAUUACUUGGUUAUGUCCGUGGGCUCCGAUGACCACUCGAAACCGGGUGAGACUGGCCUUAAAGUGAUCUCGGUCAUUAAUUCACUUAAUACAAGACAGCCAAACAAUUUUCACGCAAAAUGUGAAACUACAAUUUCGUCGUAAAAUAGUUGUAAAUCAAAAUGAGAACUAUUAUCUACUUUUAAAUACGAUUUCCAACUGAAAAAAGCGGAAUGAUAAAAACUAAAACGAAUGCAACAAUUGUAAAAUGAUGAAAAAAUAAAUAAUGUACCGCUUCUGAAAUUAUUCUCAGCGUGACUUUAAAAAAAAACAGUUCAAAGUUGCACGUCUUCGUUAUCCAGGGCACGUUUUGAAACGGGAUCAACUGAAUCAAGUAGAAUGAAAUUCAAUCUAGCAGAUUUUAUUGUUUUUUGCUGCUUCGCGAGUAUUUCUACGACUGGAUCAGAAUCGUGACUCGCUGAGAAGAUCUUGCGAGAACUUUGUGUGAUGUUGUUUUGGGCUAAGUGUCAGUCACUUCAAGCUCAUCGAAGAGUGAGGUGACCUGUGAUGUGGCUGCUGUUUUAGAACUAGAAACAUCCAGCAGCUCGAAAGGAUCGAGUGACUCCAUUAGGACGUGAUGACGGGUAACAUUUGGUAUUAUUUUAAUUUGGGUGUGGAUCACGUAAGUGAAUAUUACACUCACAUACAUAUGUAUCUCAUUUGGGGGCGAAUGCGAAUUUUAUAAAGUAUCACCUUACUACAAAGGCUUACUUUGUUAACAUUGUGUUUUUUUUAUAUUAUUACUUAUGGACUUCAGCAAUGCCCAGGGGAGAGCCAAGCCGCUGCCUAAAAGUAGAGCCUGCCUAACGCUAUCGUGGAACGAUCUUAUGUCAGGACAGAAGGUCAUCAAGCUUUUCAGGGUGACUAUCAGAUACAUGAUCAUCUUGGCCCAGAGUAUAACCAAACCAAACAAUUGCUAAAGAACAUAGAGUGGUUUUCCUGUGAUUGUAACAAGAAAAGAAUAGGAUCUAGAACCCUCUUUCGAAGGUCUUCCUGGUUCACGUAGGGUUAACAGCAAUUCAUCGCUUCUAGAAUCACUCAUUGUCGCAAAGUUAUGGCAGCGGUCUGAAGAUUCUUCAUGAUAAAGCCAGGAAUUUAACGCGACCCGUCUUCGCAUACAAGGCUUCGACGAAGACGGUGACCGGUGCUUGGAAUAGUGCGUAUUGAUAGAUAGAUAGAUAGCCGCAAAACUUGAAAACAAUUCAUAUCAGCAUGUAUUCGAAGCGUUUUCAAGAGCUAUGAUAGGAUGUUGAAUUUGUUACUUUUACAGGAAAACAUAAAAAUAAUGAUCAUAAUGUUAUUACUUUAGUAAGGUAGUUUUCAUAAAUAAUAAUAAGUAGAUGCGCAGAAAUUACUGCCAUGAGAGAGCUUAGGAUUCGUCUGUCGACUACCUCCACAUUGCACAUUGUUCACGACAUGUAAAAUAGGAAAGUAUUUAUGCUUAACUCAGCUCUGAGGAAUUGUUCAAGAUGAUACCAACGUCUCAUUUUUACCAUCGCACCGCCCGCCACCGGAGUAGAGUUCAUCCAUACUACCUGGAGCCACUGCGGUCAUCCACAGUGCGUUUCCAGAGAUCUUUUUUGCCACGUACCAUCCGGCUAUGGAAUGAGCUCCCCUCCACGGUGUUUCCCGAGCGCUAUGACAUGUCCUUCUUCAAACGAGGCUUGUGGAGAGUAUUAAGCGGUAGGCAGCGGCUUGGCGCUGCCCUUGGCAUUGCUGAAGUCCAUGGGCGACGGUAACCACUCACCAUCAGGUGGGCCGUAUGCUCGUCUGCCUACAAAGGCAAUAAAAAAAAAAGCUGGUGUUAGAACAAAACGGCGCGGUCACGAGUGGUGGUGCAUGGCUUUUAAAAUAAAUAUGGUUUUAAUUUUGAACGAGGCUUGAGGAGUCAACAGCGGAAAGCCGCACGUCCCUAGCAUUGAAGAUGUCCAUGAGUGACGGUGAUCACUCACCAUCAGAAGAGAUCGUCUUCGCGUCUGUCUACUAAGGCAAAAAAAGACAAUUUCCAGUGGCAUUUACUAGUUUCAAAAGCGGUCACAGAACACUAAAACAUUUCUCUGAGGAUGUAUACCAACCUAGUCGUACUAUAUAAAUAUAUUUAAAAAAACAUCUUUAAGUAAAAUAAACCACAAAAUCUAAUACAUUAAUUAUUUUACGUUUUAAGUUAAAAUAAAUUGUUUAUUAAUGGUUGUUGUUAUAAAAGUAGAAAUUUCAGUCGCCCACGUACACAUUGGCUGUCCUCCCAACGCUGCCUCACAGCACUGUAAAAUGAAUAUUAUAUAAGGGAGCCGAAGAUAUCUUUUACGAUAAUUUUGCUAGAAAUUGCCUUUAAGUGAUGCCUCCGGGGUAUGUUGUGUGUUCUAUGCAAAGCAUUAUACGUAAGAAAAUAACCUUAAUGAGUUCUUUGCACACCUAUUAAUUUGCAUAAAAUUAUGGCCCUAGACAGGAUCGGUUUUAAUCUUAUCAGUGAGUCUAAAUCACAUAAAUAGGUUUCAGAGAAAUCAUGGACUUGUAGAAAUUUUAUUGUCGUAUUCACGAUCUUUUUCUUGAAAUUUACAGGAACCUCCUUGUUAGGCACUAUUAAAAUUUUAGCAGUUAAAUGUGCUAGGACAGAUCCAACGCUUGGGUUAUAAUUAAAACUGUUUUUAUUAUUUUAUUUAUAGAUAGAUGCUCAUUUCUAAGAAAUGGAAAAGUAAGAAAUGACCUUGCUACCAUUUGGUCUGGGCACCUAAAGAACAUCUAUCUUUAUUUUGUUUAUAACUCCGGGACGAAAAAUAUGCAGAUUGGUACCUAUCUGUGUAUGGACUCACUCUGAGCCCCACUAUCAGUGUCGUAUAAAAAUAGAGAAGUAAGUCACGGUCCUCGUCUAAUUCGUCGAUUACAAUAAAUAGCUCGACGUGAAAACUAUCCCAUAGACACAAUCCAUUGAGUUUCUUGGCGGACCGUCUCAGUGGGUUGGGAUUCCGAUCCGGCUGUAAAUUCUACGAAGCACUGUUAAGGUCAGUGUUAGAAAUUCUUUCAAGCUUAGCCCGUGAGCUCACCUACCGGUCCGUGAGUAGUUGCAAUAGCCUUUUAGGCAAUCAACGAUUAGGUAGGAAAAUAAAAAGAUAAAUUUUAUGAAUGCAAAAUAGGGUGAAUGAUUUAUCUUUAAUCGACGUUUCAACGGCACACUUAUUAUUGUUUCAACUGAUUUAUGACAGUCGCCUCGUUUUUAAGGGAGUUGAUUGAGUGAGCUCCAUUACUGUAGCGUAUGAAAGAAGUAAUUUAUUUUAUUUAUUUAUUUCAUUUACUUCAGAGUUUGUAUCCAUAUUACACUCAUUAACAUUUCAUUUAUACUAGAAUUAAAUAAAAAUAAUAACUACAGUUUCGGACUAAAACAAGAGAAAUAAUAAUAAUAAUAAUAUCAUUACUGCACUCCAAUACCUGUUGAGUAAUCAUUAUAUUUGAUAUUUUACUGUUGUGUUUAUUCGCCUAGCUUUACUUGACAUAAAAUAGAUAUUUUUCGAAGCAUCGACAUGGUAUUAACAGUUUGUCGAAGCCCAGAAACGAGAUCGAGCUUUCAAUAGCGUCGAAAUACUGAUGUCCUAUCUUCCGUCCUAUCUAUCCUAGCAAAGUGGGACACACGCGGCAGAAAAAAGGAAGACGGUAAUAUUCAACUAUGUGGACUUAUAAUACGUCUAACUUCAAAUAAAAUGAGGGGAUUCUAGAAGCCAGGGCCAGAAAGAAUUUGGCUUAUGAGAAUUUCAGUUCAGUGCAUCGAAUUUGUUCGCUAUGUUUUUUCCACACGUUAGGUCUAGUCAUCAGCACUCAUCUGUUAGAAGCGUGUCGGUGUUUACUAACCGGGGCGGAUUUAAUGAGCAGCUUGUUGUAGUUUGACAGAGUGAUUUAAUAUCGCAGCGUGAUCGUUUCAGUAAAUCGGGAUUAGUUCGGGGUGAGACCGAAGCGUGAGUUAUUGCGGUGGAAUAUGGCGCGCGUUUGCUUUUACUUAUAUGUACAUAAUAUGUUACGUGAAGUUUUCCUAAAAAAUAUAUUUUAAUAGGACAUUUUAUUGUUUUUAAGAUAAGUUUCAUUAAAUACUGAUACAGUUUUAGGUAUAUGUUAUAAUGAUCCUGGUUAUUUGUGCUAUAAAUCGGUAAUAAAUUCAUGUUUUAAGUUUUUUUUUUGUUCCUUAGAUGGUUGGACGAGCUCACAGCCUACACCUGGUGUGUAAAGUGGUUACUGGAGCCCAUAGACAUCUACAACGUAAAUGCGCCACCCAUCUUAAGAUAUAAGUUCUAAGAUCUCAGUAUAGUUACAACGGCUGCCCCAACCUUCAAACCGAAACGCAUUACUGCUUCACGGCAGAAAUAGGCAGGUUGGUGGUGUUGGAAACCCAACAAAAUUGGUAUAAAACCUUUUUUAUUGUUGUGGUUGUGGUUUUUGACAUUACAUUUUAAUUUUGAAUUUUUUGGAAUGUCUUAGUUUUGUCAAUUCUCUUUCAUCCGUGCUAUUGUACGCGAUUUAUAAAAUUUCUAAAAUAUACAAAUUUUAUACGUGCAA
This is a long non-coding RNA of Bombyx mori (domestic silkworm), 6193 nucleotides long. RefSeq lists it as uncharacterized. NCBI's taxonomy places the organism in Eukaryota, Metazoa, Arthropoda, Insecta, Lepidoptera, Bombycidae. The transcript has 4 exons. The record is from RefSeq and is a predicted model, not a curated record.